RNAcentral lists this ribosomal RNA (253 nucleotides) under uncultured bacterium. Its description in RNAcentral is "partial 16S ribosomal RNA". It matches the Rfam family "Bacterial small subunit ribosomal RNA", at positions 524 to 776 of the family's 1533-position model. The record is from RNAcentral.
UACGGAGGGAGCUAGCGUUGUUCGGAAUUACUGGGCGUAAAGCGCACGUAGGCGGCUUUGUAAGUUAGAGGUGAAAGCCCGGGGCUCAACCCCGGAAUUGCCUUUAAGACUGCAUCGCUUGAAUCCAGGAGAGGUGAGUGGAAUUCCGAGUGUAGAGGUGAAAUUCGUAGAUAUUCGGAAGAACACCAGUGGCGAAGGCGGCUCACUGGACUGGUAUUGACGCUGAGGUGCGAAAGCGGGGGGAGCAAACAGG